This 253-nucleotide ribosomal RNA is filed under the name uncultured bacterium. RNAcentral describes it as "partial 16S ribosomal RNA". It matches the Rfam family "Bacterial small subunit ribosomal RNA", at positions 524 to 776 of the family's 1533-position model. The record is from RNAcentral.
UACGGGGGGGGCAAGCGUUGUUCGGAAUUACUGGGCGUAAAGGGCUCGUAGGCGGCCAACUAAGUCCGACGUGAAAUCCCCAGGCUCAACCUGGGAACUGCGUCGGAUACUGGAUGGCUUGAAUUCGGGAGAGGGAUGCAGAAUUCCAGGUGUAGCGGUGAAAUGCGUAGAUAUCUGGAGGAAUACCGGUGGCGAAGGCGGCAUCCUGGACCGAUAUUGACGCUGAUGAGCGAAAGCUAGGGGAGCAAACGGG